CCUACGGGAGGCAGCAGUGGGGGAUAUUGCACAAUGGGGGCAACCCUGAUGCAGCGACGCCGCGUGGGCGAAGAAGUAUUUCUGUAUGUAAAGCCCUAUCAGCAGGGGAGAAGAAAUGACGGUACCUGAGUAAGAAGCACCGGCUAAAUACGUGCCAGCAGCUGCCGUAGUACGUAUGGUGCAAGCGUUAUCCGGAUUUAUUGGGUGAAAAGGGAGCGUAGGCGGCAUGGCAAGCCUGAGGGGAAAGCCUGCGGCUCAACCGUAGGACGGCAUUUGGAACUAGCGGGCUGGAGUGCGUGGGAGGCAGGCGGAAUGCGUAGUGUAGCGGUGAAAUGCGUAGAUAUUAGGAGGAACACCAGUGGCGAAGGCGGCCUACUAGACGGUGACUGACGCUGAGGCUCGAAAGCGUGGGGAGCAAACAGGAUUAGAUACCCUUGUAGUC
RNAcentral lists this ribosomal RNA (442 nucleotides) under uncultured bacterium. Its description in RNAcentral is "partial 16S ribosomal RNA". It matches the Rfam family "Bacterial small subunit ribosomal RNA", at positions 338 to 795 of the family's 1533-position model. The record is from RNAcentral.